UGAGGAACAUGACCUUCGGCGGGGGAUAGCCGGCCCAACGGCCGGGUAAUACCGCGUACGACCACAUGGGGACAUCCCUGAGUGGUGAAAGCAGCAAUGCGCCGAUGGAGUGCCUCGCGGCCUACCAGCUAGUUGGUGAGGUAACGGCUCACUAAGGCGACGACGGGUAGCUGGUCUGAGAGGAUGGCCAGCCACAUUGGGACUGAGACACGGCCCAGACUCCCGUAGGGACGG
Molecule: ribosomal RNA, 234 nt
Filed under: uncultured bacterium
Lineage: Bacteria
Description: partial 16S ribosomal RNA
Rfam family: Bacterial small subunit ribosomal RNA
Source: RNAcentral